GUAGCGUUGAAAGACUCUGUGGUCGAUGCAUCGGCACUUGCUGUAGAGGUCUCUGAUGUGACCGUCGUCGUGUUGGAAGACUCUGUGGUCGAUGCAUCAGCACUAGCUGUGGAGGUCUCUGAUGUGACCGUCGUCGUGUUGGAAGACUCUGUGG
RNAcentral lists this long non-coding RNA (154 nucleotides) under Neodiprion lecontei (redheaded pine sawfly). Its description in RNAcentral is "uncharacterized LOC124293827". The record is from RNAcentral. Lineage: Eukaryota; Metazoa; Arthropoda; Insecta; Hymenoptera; Diprionidae.